UACGUAGGGUGCAAGCGUUAAUCGGAAUGACUGGGCGUAAAGGGUGCGCAGGCGGUCUGCUAAGACAGAGGUGAAAUCCCCGGGCUUAACCUGGGAAUGGCCGUUGAAACUGGCGAACUGGAGUGUGGCAGAGGGGGGUGGAAUUCCGCGUGUAGCAGUGAAAUGCGUAGAGAUGCGGAGGAACACCGAUGGCGAAGGCAGCCCCCUGGGCUAACACUGACGCUCAGGCACGAAAGCGUGGGGAGCAAACAGG
RNAcentral lists this ribosomal RNA (253 nucleotides) under uncultured bacterium. RNAcentral describes it as "partial 16S ribosomal RNA". It matches the Rfam family "Bacterial small subunit ribosomal RNA", at positions 524 to 776 of the family's 1533-position model. The record is from RNAcentral.